Drosophila simulans is the source of this 3673-nucleotide long non-coding RNA. RefSeq lists it as uncharacterized. The transcript has 3 exons. The record is from RefSeq and is a predicted model, not a curated record. Lineage: Eukaryota; Metazoa; Arthropoda; Insecta; Diptera; Drosophilidae.
ACCGAACGGCGUACGUGACUCGAAAAGAGGAAAAGAAAACCCCGAAAUUGAGAGAAAACCACGAAAAGGAUGAAAAUUGGAAAUGUUCUCCCGCAAGGAAACGAAUAAAGCAACAACAACAACUACAAAUGCAAUGGAACGAAGUGAAUUGAAAAAGAGGCAACAACAAAAAUCCACCCCGGCAUUACUGGCAGGCUAAAAAAAAAAAAAAAAAUUUUCCACUCCGAAAACGAAAACUCAGUUGCAAGUUGCAACAUGCUGCAAAUAGCGGCUGUUGCCAGGCCGCAAAAAAGAUACGAAACGAUACGAGAGAUACCAGCUACAAGAUACGAAUGUAUCUUCAGAAUUUCCUUUUCGCCUUUUCCACGGAAGCGGGCGAAUGCAAAUUUUACAGCGCUCGCCGCUUCGGCAACCAAAAAGUAAAUCUCGAGAGAAAAACCCAUCAAGUCGCAGGAAAAUCCCUAUGAGGAAUAUUAAAUCAAAGUUUUUUUUUGUGCCCAACGUUACUUCCAUUAAAUAUUUAAUAAAAGCGCUGUCUGUGCGCAUUUCCCGUUAGUUUUCAUUUGUUUGUAACGCACGAAGUUAAAUAUUCUGUGCCCGUUUUUAUGGUUAUUCGUAAAAAUAAAUUUCAGUUCAAUUUCAUAAAAAAGCUAUUUUUAAACCAUAAUGACUUUAAAAAAAAAAUUGUAAUCAAUUAAAUUAUUCUAAUCUGGUAGUAAAUUUGUGCCAUAAAACAGCAAAAUUUAUUUGAAAAACGAGCCUUCUUUGAUUUAAAAAGCCCGGCAUUGUUGUUUGCUGACCAAAGCUGAAAAUGCUGCACGUAGAUUGAAAACGAAAGAUUGAAAUGUAUCUCAUGAAUGCCCCGCCCACCGAAAAAAACAAAAUAAAGGAACUGAGCUGUAGAAAAGCAGAUAUCCAACUUGUCUUCAUGUGAUGCUGGCUCAAAUAAAUAAAAUCAAAUUUCUUUCAGAUUGAAAUGAAAUUCCAUGAAGCACGCAUGUGUGCUUGUAUCUUUGUAUCUUUGGGAUAUCUUUCGUGGCACAUUAGCUUUAUGUAGAUGUGUUUGGUUCAGAUAAUAAAUGAAUUGAAACGAGAACUUCUUUUGUUUGACUUUUGGCCCCUGACUUUUUGCCACAUUGCGAAGUGAACUGAACUGAACGGAUUUUGAAACUGAUUUCAUUGAUAAACCUGAGCACUCUUUGAAAUUUCGCAAUCUUUGAAAUGCGAGCCCCAGCCUCUAAUGGGGCGUGGCCCGAGCUGAUUAGAAACAAACUGCCAAAACGAGCCUCUUAAAAAAUAAACAACAAAGAACUGUGAUUCAGGUCGGCCAACAGACGAAUUUCAGGGGUUAAUGAUCAGAGAAAUUUAUUGCCAACAAAAAGAUACUCACAUAUACGGGUAUAAAUUGGCUUAUAUAUUGGCUUAGAUAGCUGAUGAUGCCUGUUGUUUAGUCAUUUCUAUAAUAUCAACAAUAAAUGUAGAAAAUAUAGUUGGCAAUUUAUAAAAUAUAAAUCCCCAUUACAAGUUCUACUAAUUACUUUUAUUUAAUUCACAUUAAGCAUCCCCCACUUUCAAUUGACUAAAGUAUCUCAUUUCGAUUACUCAAUUUGCAAUUGUUUUCCCAUCAUUAUUCAUGAACAGUUCAAAAUGACUUUAAUGCAGAAAAUUUAAAUUUGAAAAAUUUCGCAAGGUAAAUCAAUCAACUGUGAGAUUGAAAUCCACUUUCCCAACCGUUGCCUUUGUGACUUUGCGAUACAUGGGCAGCACAUAUAGAGAACUUUCCCUCGGCGUGUUCUCCGCUUUUCCGGGAAAGCAAUUUUCACAAAAGUUUACGCUUUGGCUUUGGCUUUCGCUCUUGUGGCCCCCUCGAAGGCAAUUUGUAAAUUUAAAUUAGUUUUACUAAACACAACACAUUUUCACACCGGCACACAUCCAUCCAUAUGUAUGCAUAAAUUUUCAUUAAAAAAAUAAGAAGAGCGAGUGCGGGGAAAAUCGUUGAACGUGUGCAGAACCCAAGAAAAUUAUCAAGAACAAGUUGAUUUUUCCUUGCGCUUGUUUUUAUUUGGUUUUCCAGGUGGGGGAGGCCCUGCCAAAAUGUUUCGCCGAAACGAGCAGGGAGAUCAACUUUCGCGGAUUGUUCGAGAAAAAGAGGCAACAUAGAAGUAGAAAAGUUAUGACGAGCGGAAAUUCGGGAAGUUCAUUGUGCCCGGAAAGUCUUCAGAUUCAGAUACAUAUAUGUAUGUACACAGAUAUGUUUCCGGGCUGUCGGCCAAAGUUAAUGCCAAGGAAUUUGGCAAGUAAUUUAUGACAGCCAAAUGGAAAUGGAAAACAAAUGGCGAUAAGCUAAUUUGAUAAAGGUGUUUGAUCGAUCCACUGCGAUAACGACGAUUUGCAAUUGAAAAGCGAAAAUCAUUCGCAUUUUGCAGAUACAAAUCGCUGACGUGGAUAUGCACUGUUCGUAAAUGGGAGAUGUUGAUAUAAAGUAAAUCAAAAUGAAAAACUCUAAAUUGUGAUAAUAUUUUAAUAGAAAAAUGUUAAGCUAAGAUAUAUAUGUAUACAAUUUAAAAUAAACAGAACUAAUUUAAUACCAGAUUGAUUUGAUUAAGAUACAAUUCAGGCCUUUUUUGUUUAAAAUAAAUAAUAUUUACUGCUUUCAUCAUUAAUUUUCAACUGAAAAGUAAGUAGCUAAAAAGUAAUGUAUCUGCUCAACGCAAACAAAAAAAAACGAGAUACAAAACGGCAUGCGUGGCGCCACCUAGCGGCCAGAGUUUCCUUUGCACCGGCGACGUGACCGAAUGAACGUGUGAGUGCGAACGAGAUGGUGUGCGACAAUUUUCCGCCAGGAAAAAAAGAAAACGAUUUGGCAGUUUGUCUUCGGGGAAAGAAAAUGCCUAAAAUUAGAGCACAAAUUAGAUUUCAAUUGAAUUGAAAUGUCUGCGGAGAAAAGUGUCCCACAGAUGCAUAAUUGAUUUAUGCAAACGAACUGGCAGAAGAAACUGGCCAGAAGUUUCCUCUACUUUAUAAAAGUAACUAUGCAAAUAAAUCGCCUAUUUAUUAUUUAUUUAUGUGCAAAAUGAGUUUCUUUUCUCUUGCUACUUUUCACGUCUGAUUUAAAUAAUCUGUAUUUUGUAAUAAUUUUUGUAUGAAAAUCUCUUUCGCUAGAAACACGUUUGAGUGCAAAAUGAUGUACGUUCGUGCGCUCUUUCAGUUUGCGUAAACCACUCAAGAGAGUUUCACGUGUAACGCGCGCUCUUAGGUUCUCUAUAAAAGUAUUUCUCAUCCACCAAUUCGCGCUCCAAUUUUCACUCACUUCGUCUUUCACAGCUGAUUCUUUUGCUCUCAGCUGUAGCUGGUCGGCGAAAAUAAUUAACUGGAACAGGCUCUCUUAUUGGCUUUUCCUGCUGAAAAGUGCCAUAACUAUAGUUAUUUGCUGCAUUUUUAAAUGCACUGAACGUUAAUUAAUGGUUUGCUAUAUUAUUUAGCUGGUUUUCAUGCAUUUAUUGCACUGCUCGCUGUCUCUCUCUCUCUCUCUCCGCUCAAAACUUGCAGUAAUUUUACUGGCUCUCCGCUGCUCUUUCGCCGAGUUUGCAGCUGUUUCGCUCAUCAUAUGUUUCUGAGUCGAGCCUCCCACUGCCCCCCUGCACCAGCAGCAACCCCCACCGCUAUGUGCAAC